RNAcentral lists this long non-coding RNA (318 nucleotides) under Elaeis guineensis (African oil palm). RNAcentral's name for it is "long non-coding RNA (EGUI_LNC055753)". The record is from RNAcentral. Lineage: Eukaryota; Viridiplantae; Streptophyta; Magnoliopsida; Arecales; Arecaceae.
CUUUGAGGGACCAGCCUUGUGAUUAGACACAAACUAAAUAUCAGGAGAUGUUCUGUGAUCAUGAGGAGGUGAAGACGGUCUCUCCUCCUCUGCUCUCUCCUCAACAUCCUUUGACCAACCACCAUCAGUCUUUGAAAAAUUCAUGUGGUGCAGUAUUUGACUGUUGAUGGUGUCAGAAUGAGAUAAUCUGGCAACUGCCUCCCUCUCAAAACUGACUUCAAACCUCCUAAAGACCAGGAUGAGUGCCAUACCAUAAGGCAAGUGAGCCUUAGACCUGUUCAGGGUCUCCCUCAUGGCCUUAAACAUUAACGCAGGAAG